AGGAAAGAAAGGUUUUCAGGGAAGCGGUAGACAAGUUCCUUCAGCUCAACACGAAGUCACUGGCCCGGCCUGGCACCCACAGGUAAAGAAUACCAGGGAAAGAGAGAGGAACCCUCGCGAACCCAUCCUGCUCCUGCUCACUGGGUCAUUAGAAGCACAAUGAAUCUGGCAAAGGGUCUGCUCUAAAGCAGCUUGAACAAUGAUCCCCCAUCCCUUAGAGUGAGAAGACACUCUGCUUCUCAUCUGAUGUCCUGACCCGACAAACUGGACCAGACAGAGGUGUGUGUAUUGCAGGGGUGGGGAGCAGUUUAAGAAGGGAUGGGGGAACCCCUGACAGUAAAUUGGGAAGGGAAGG
Non-coding RNA from Macaca mulatta (Rhesus monkey), 355 nucleotides. NCBI's taxonomy places the organism in Eukaryota, Metazoa, Chordata, Mammalia, Primates, Cercopithecidae. The record is from RefSeq and is a predicted model, not a curated record.